UGGGGAAUUUUGGACAAUGGGGGAAACCCUGAUCCAGCCAUCCCGCGUGUGCGAUGAAGGCCUUCGGGUUGUAAAGCACUUUUGGCAGGAAAGAAACGUCAUGGGUUAAUACCCCGUGAAACUGACGGUACCUGCAGAAUAAGCACCGGCUAACUACGUGUCAGCAGCCGCGGUAAUACGUAGGGUGCAAGCGUUAAUCGGAAUUACUGGGCGUAAAGCGUGCGCAGGCGGUUCGGAAAGAAAGAUGUGAAAUCCCAGAGCUCAACUUUGGAACUGCAUUUUUAACUACCGGGCUAGAGUGUGUCAGAGGGAGGUGGAAUUCCGCGUGUAGCAGUGAAAUGCGUAGAUAUGCGGAGGAACACCGAUGGCGAAGGCAGCCUCCUGGGAUAACACUGACGCUCAUGCACGAAAGCGUGGGGAGCAAACAGG
RNAcentral lists this ribosomal RNA (429 nucleotides) under Acidobacteriota bacterium. Its description in RNAcentral is "Acidobacteria bacterium partial 16S ribosomal RNA". It matches the Rfam family "Bacterial small subunit ribosomal RNA", at positions 355 to 776 of the family's 1533-position model. Lineage: Bacteria; Pseudomonadati; Acidobacteriota. The record is from RNAcentral.